GGUUGACAUGAAAGAAGGGAAGGCUAGCACUUCCCUGGAUAAGGAUCAGGUGUCCUACUGACCCUGGCACCUACUCUGUGGCAUGGAACCAUUUGUUUUU
Molecule: non-coding RNA, 100 nt
Filed under: Phascolarctos cinereus (koala)
Lineage: Eukaryota; Metazoa; Chordata; Mammalia; Diprotodontia; Phascolarctidae
Source: RNAcentral